AAUAAGUUGCCUGAUAAAAGGGCUAUCUUGAUAGGGUAGAUAAUAUGAUUUAACAUCAUACUUAUUA
Molecule: transfer RNA, 67 nt
Filed under: Symplecta hybrida
Lineage: Eukaryota; Metazoa; Arthropoda; Insecta; Diptera; Limoniidae
Description: tRNA-Ile
Source: RNAcentral